RNAcentral lists this unclassified non-coding RNA (88 nucleotides) under Pseudomonas moraviensis. Lineage: Bacteria; Pseudomonadati; Pseudomonadota; Gammaproteobacteria; Pseudomonadales; Pseudomonadaceae. The record is from RNAcentral.
UGUAGGAGUGAGCCUGCUCGCGAUGCGGUGUGUCAGUCAUUACUUCUCUACCUGAUACACCGCUAUCGCGAGCAGGCUCACUCCUACA